CAGGACGAACGCUGGCGGCGCGCCUAACACAUGCAAGUCGAACGGAGAUUACAGGCGGAAGUUUUCGGAUGGAAGCUUGUAAACUUAGUGGCGGACGGGUGAGUAACACGUGAGCAACCUGCCUAUCAGAGGGGGAUAACGAUUGGAAACGAUCGCUAAUACCGCAUGACAUAGCGGAAUCGCAUGGUUCUGCUAUCAAAGAUUUUAUCGCUGAUAGAUGGGCUCGCGUCCGAUUAGAUAGUUGGUGGGGUAACGGCCUACCAAGUCGACGAUCGGUAGCCGGACUGAGAGGUCGAACGGCCACAUUGGGACUGAGACACGGCCCAGACUCCUACGGGAGGCAGCAGUGGGGGAUAUUGCACAAUGGGGGAAACCCUGAUGCAGCGACGCCGCGUGAGGGAAGACGGUCCUCUGGAUUGUAAACCUCUGUCUUCGGGGACGAAACGAGACGGUACCCGAGGAGGAAGCCACGGCUAACUACGUG
This 484-nucleotide ribosomal RNA is filed under the name uncultured bacterium. Its description in RNAcentral is "bacterial SSU rRNA". It matches the Rfam family "Bacterial small subunit ribosomal RNA", at positions 25 to 507 of the family's 1533-position model. The record is from RNAcentral.